CCUACGGGUAGCAGCAGUGGGGAAUAUUGGACAAUGGGCGAAAGCCUGAUCCAGCCAUGCUGCGUGUGUGAAGAAGGCCUUCGGGUUGUAAAGCACUUUCAGUGGGGAAGAAAGCCUUGGGGCUAAUACCCUCGAGGAAGGACAUCACCCACAGAAGAAGCACCGGCUAACUCCGUGCCAGCAGCCGCGGUAAUACGGAGGGUGCGAGCGUUAAUCGGAAUUACUGGGCGUAAAGCGCGCGUAGGCGGUCUGAUAAGCCGGUUGUGAAAGCCCCGGGCUCAACCUGGGAACGGCAUCCGGAACUGUCAGGCUAGAGUGCAGGAGAGGAAGGUAGAAUUCCCGGUGUAGCGGUGAAAUGCGUAGAGAUCGGGAGGAAUACCAGUGGCGAAGGCGGCCUUCUGGACUGACACUGACGCUGAGGUGCGAAAGCGUGGGUAGCAAACAGGAUUAGAUACCCUAGUAGUC
RNAcentral lists this ribosomal RNA (465 nucleotides) under Vreelandella stevensii. Its description in RNAcentral is "partial 16S ribosomal RNA". It matches the Rfam family "Bacterial small subunit ribosomal RNA", at positions 338 to 795 of the family's 1533-position model. The record is from RNAcentral. Lineage: Bacteria; Pseudomonadati; Pseudomonadota; Gammaproteobacteria; Oceanospirillales; Halomonadaceae.